Molecule: unclassified non-coding RNA, 295 nt
Filed under: Hevea brasiliensis (rubber tree)
Lineage: Eukaryota; Viridiplantae; Streptophyta; Magnoliopsida; Malpighiales; Euphorbiaceae
Source: RNAcentral
UUGACAACAAGCACCAGGGUCAGUGCAUGGCCUUUAUCAUUCAAAAGCCUAACACCACCACCCCCUAAGCCAUUGAUCUGACAUUGGGGUCUUUCUUGGAUGUCCUAGUUUUUGUUGUCUUCAUCCCCUCAAUAAAUGGGUGUUGAAACUUGCAAGUGGAAAUACCAAAUAAUUAAAUAAGCUAUAUACUAGCACAUGGUUUUGGGCUUUCUUUUCUAGGACAGUGAGUGGUAAUGCCCAUGGUUUUCUAAAUCAGAGGUGAUUCUGUAUGAACGAUUCCAUUUGCGUACUUUUU